This 830-nucleotide long non-coding RNA is filed under the name Olea europaea subsp. europaea. The record is from RNAcentral. Lineage: Eukaryota; Viridiplantae; Streptophyta; Magnoliopsida; Lamiales; Oleaceae.
UAACAAUAUAAAAUUAAGGAGAAUAAGCAUUCUCCUACACGACUACACGGGUUUUACGACCCCUCACUGUAAGGGUUGGUCCCACAUGAAUAAUAAUAAUAAUAAUAAUAAUAAUAAUAAUAAUAAUAAUAAUAAUAAUAAUAAUAAAUUUGCGUCGGGCCCACGCUUAGUGUUGUCUGGCACGAGUCCGUAAAUACGCCCAGCACGGUUCUAAAAUUAAUUUGUGGUUUUGUUGUUAUUCAAUAAUACUGCUUCAGACACUAUGUUACAAAAUUUGUAAUCUAAGUGAUAGUAGACUAUUCUGUACAAAAGAGAUUUUACACAACAAUUUUGUUAGUGUAAUUUCCAUGGAAGACACUGGAGAUUGGAGCAAGACCCGAUCCAUGAAUUUGUACGUUCUCCACCACCAAUGGAGCUUUCUCCACCGUCGCAACACCGGCAGACCAGCCCAAGAGUUGAAAAAGCCUUCGUGUGUUUCACUAAUCAAAUUUAAGAAUUACCUUGAUUACUCCCAAAAAAAAAAAAAGAACAAAUUUUAAGGAUUAACUUGAUUACUGUAAAAUGAACAAGACCCACAAAUGAAUUAAAGAGAAGGCAAAGAAAGUAGACACAACUAAGUGGAGGUGUCAAAUUGUUUGGAUCAAUACAAAAUUGUUCUUACCUUGCUGAGGAGAUAGGAAGGGGGUUGGCACUGUCCUGGCUUCGGUGCUGCUGCUUUCUUGAUAUGCAGAACUGAUUAUAGACAAAAGCAAAACGAGUAUUGGAGUUGACUUAAACGAACCCAUUUAUGGAUGUUCCUUUUGGUUUAACGUAAAUUUGUAAUAGAAUUG